AGGGAGAUUGUUGGAUCAUAUGGUAAAAUUAAGCUUAGUUUCAGGAGAGAUUCUCAAAUCAUUUUCCAAAAUGGCUAUACAAUUUCACAUUCCCACCACCAAU
RNAcentral lists this microRNA precursor (103 nucleotides) under Marmota monax (woodchuck). The record is from RNAcentral. Lineage: Eukaryota; Metazoa; Chordata; Mammalia; Rodentia; Sciuridae.